UGCCAGCCGCCGCGGUAAUACGGAGGGUGCAAGCGUUAAUCGGAAUUACUGGGCGUAAAGCGCGCGUAGGUGGUUUAGUAAGUAGGCUGUGAAAGCCCCGGGCUCAACCUGGGAAUGCCAGUCUAAACUGCUUGACUAGAGAUCAAUAGAGGGAGGUGGAAAUCCUGGUGUAGCGGUGAAAUGCGUAGAUAUCAGGAAGAACACCGGUGGCGAAGGCGACCUCCUGGAUUGAUUCUGACACUGAGGUGCGAAAGCGUGGGGAGCAAACAGGAUUAGAUA
Molecule: ribosomal RNA, 279 nt
Filed under: uncultured bacterium
Lineage: Bacteria
Description: partial 16S ribosomal RNA
Rfam family: Bacterial small subunit ribosomal RNA
Source: RNAcentral